UGGGGAAUAUUGCACAAUGGGCGAAAGCCUGAUGCAGCAACGCCGCGUGAGCGAAGAAGGUCUUCGGAUCGUAAAGCUCUGUCCUUGGGGAAGAUAAUGACGGUACCCUUGGAGGAAGCCCCGGCUAACUACGUGCCAGCAGCCGCGGUAAUACGUAGGGGGCAAGCGUUAUCCGGAAUUAUUGGGCGUAAAGAGUGCGUAGGUGGUUACCUAAGCAGGGGGUGAAAGGCAAUGGCUCAACCAUUGUUAGCCCCUGAACUGGGCUACUGGAGUGCAGGAGAGGAAAGCGGAAUUACCGGUGUAGCGGUGAAAUGCGUAGAGAUCGGUAGGAACACCAGUGGCGAAGGCGGCUUUCUGGACUGAAACUGACGUUGAGGCGCGAAAGCGUGGGGAGCAAACAGGAUUAGAUACCCUGGUAGU
RNAcentral lists this ribosomal RNA (420 nucleotides) under uncultured Anaerovorax sp. Its description in RNAcentral is "bacterial SSU rRNA". It matches the Rfam family "Bacterial small subunit ribosomal RNA", at positions 355 to 794 of the family's 1533-position model. The record is from RNAcentral. Lineage: Bacteria; Bacillati; Bacillota; Clostridia; Peptostreptococcales; Anaerovoracaceae.